RNAcentral lists this ribosomal RNA (253 nucleotides) under uncultured bacterium. RNAcentral's name for it is "partial 16S ribosomal RNA". It matches the Rfam family "Bacterial small subunit ribosomal RNA", at positions 524 to 776 of the family's 1533-position model. The record is from RNAcentral.
UACGGGGGGGGCAAGCGUUGUUCGGAAUUACUGGGCGUAAAGGGCUCGUAGGCGGCCAACUAAGUCAGACGUGAAAUCCCUCGGCUUAACCGGGGAACUGCAUCUGAUACUGGAUGGCUUGAGAUUGGGAGAGGGAUGCGGAAUUCCAGGUGUAGCGGUGAAAUGCGUAGAUAUCUGGAGGAACACCGGUGGCGAAGGCGGCAUCCUGGACCGAGAUUGACACUGAGGCACGAAAGCGUGGGGAUCAAACAGG